This 1173-nucleotide long non-coding RNA is filed under the name Marmota monax (woodchuck). The record is from RNAcentral. Lineage: Eukaryota; Metazoa; Chordata; Mammalia; Rodentia; Sciuridae.
GGAGAGAGAAGGGAAAUUGCAUGGAAAUGGAAGGAGACCCUCAGGGUUAUACAAAAGUUCAUAGCUUCAAUUUAAAAAUUAUUACAUUUGAGGACACUAGGUUUGUAUUCCAACGUUGUAAUCAUCAAUUUGUAUUUAACACAGAUUGACUUUCACAGGUACAGAAAGAGCCUGCUUCAUUUUGCUCUACUCAUACAAUGUAUGCAAUCAUAUAUUAAGACUUAGUCUCAUCUAUGUUAUUUUAUGGACUGUAGAGGCAUUUGAAAUUAGGACUGUGUUAGCUAGUUAGCUAGAAAAAUACCAUUCAACUGAUUUAAACAAUAGCUCCAUUUCUAAAACUCUAAUGUAAGCUUUUUAGAAUGUCUUAUCCCCUGGACUAGUAUGUUCUCCCUUGCUUAUCUCUGCACCUAUGUGAGCUUAAGGCUGUAUGACUGCAUCAUCUGAAGUUUUGAAUUUAAUGCUUUAAAGCUUCAGGGAUCUCCUUGCUGUGUUUCCAUAAUUUUAUUCAAAGAAUUAUAAACAUAGUCUGAUGCUUUGUUAACUUCAAUAUUUAAUAAUUAUUUAUAUUGAACUAUUGUGCUGCUUGGAUAUAUUGACAUGUAUUUUCAAUUCAAUAAAAAUAUACCAUGGAACAACAACAACAACAAGCUACCAGAGAUUAGAAAGACACUAUGAGCAAAGGUGUGGGUCAAGCUAAAUUUUGCUGGAGCUGAAAAACAGGAAACAUUCAGUUGACAUAGAGGACUUUGUCUUAUCUACAAACAUCCUUGCAGCCAACAAUCUCUUUGGUGCUGUACUGUAUAAACUGACAGAGAGGUAAAUUGUAAUUUUUGAGAGAAGUGCAGAUAAAUUCUGAAUAACUACACUCAGAAGUUAUUAUUUUAGAAGAUCUUCAAACCAAAAAGGAAGUGAAAAACCAGUCAUGUAGUCAAAUGAGAAAAUCAUUUCCAGGCAAGCCAAGCAUCAGCAAACUAGGGAUCCUCAGAGGGUAGUUAUGAGGAUGAAAAUAACUUAUUCAAAAACUUCACAAGUUCUGACUUCUGGUAAGAUGGAAGACAGACCAUUUCAUUCAGGUAGGGACUAUGUCCAUCUUUUUCACCAUUGUAUCGCCAAGGUUCAGCCCAUAUGGAACUCAUAAAUACUUGAAUAACUAAAAGAUAAAACUACACAUGA